AGCGAACGCUGGCGGCAGGCUUAACACAUGCAAGUCGAACGGGCGUAGCAAUACGUCAGUGGCAGACGGGUGAGUAACGCGUGGGAACGUACCUUUUGGUUCGGAACAACACAGGGAAACUUGUGCUAAUACCGGAUAAGCCCUUACGGGGAAAGAUUUAUCGCCGAAAGAUCGGCCCGCGUCUGAUUAGCUAGUUGGUGAGGUAAUGGCUCACCAAGGCGACGAUCAGUAGCUGGUCUGAGAGGAUGAUCAGCCACACUGGAACUGAGACACGGUCCAGACUCCUACGGGAGGCAGCAGUGGGGAAUAUUGCGCAAUGGGCGAAAGCCUGACGCAGCAACGCCGCGUGUGUGAUGAAGGCCUCGG
RNAcentral lists this ribosomal RNA (366 nucleotides) under uncultured bacterium. RNAcentral's name for it is "bacterial SSU rRNA". It matches the Rfam family "Bacterial small subunit ribosomal RNA", at positions 29 to 420 of the family's 1533-position model. The record is from RNAcentral.